UGAGAUCACGGGUAAACACAAUUCCCAGGUGAGACCUGUCAUUCGCUUUUCUCUCGUUCCCCGUCCCCCGUCUGCGUCGCUGCGGCCUCCUCCCCCGACGUCCGCCUUGCCGACGCUCCUCCUCCGCCUGCGUCGCCGCCUCCUCUCCCCUCCACCUCGUAGGAUCCUUCUCCCUCUACAUCGCCCCCUCGUCCACCAACCGCAUCGCCGCCUCCAUCCCCGAUCCCAUCUCACCGGUCCUCCUCCCACCGCCUCGUCGGCCAAGAACGAUGGCUGAUCUACCACUAGAGUUAUAUCAUGAGAAGAGGAAGAAAAGGAAGCGGGCAACAGCUGGGUUCUUUAUUACCGUAGUUGCAGUAGCUCAACAUAUGUAUUGUAGGAGAAAGAUAGUUGAGCUUGGUGAUUUCAGUGAGGAAGAGGCCGAGACUAGAAUUAGGAGGCAAAUGCUUAGGAAUAUUUACCUGGGUCCAAAUCUAUAUUGCUAUGAUACUCUAAGGUUUACCAAAGGGUCCUUCUUUGACCUAUGUGCCAUGUUACGUGAAAGGACUGAAAGACACCUUUCAUGUGACUGUUGAAGAGGCUGUGACCAUUGUAUUGCUUGUACUUAGCCAUGGCAUGAAGUUUAGGUUGAUUCAUAGCACCUACAGGUUGACACUUGAGCCAAUUAGUAGACAUUUAAAUGAGGUGUUAGGACCCAUUCUUUCUUUAUCCCAUGAAAUCAUCAAGUUGCCAGAUCCUGGUACUGAACUACCUGAGGAUCACAAAUGGAGGUAGUUCCCCGAUGGGCAUGGAGCCUUAUAUGGCACACAUGUUGAUGUCCGUGUUCCGCUACGCAAGCAAGGUAGAUAUAGGAAUAUGAAGAAGGCCAUAACAACAAAUGUGUUGGGCGUCUGUGACCGCAACAUGAAGUUUGUUUAUGUGUUGGCUGGCUGGGAAGGUUCAGCGUCAGAUGGUAGAGUGCUGGGAGAUGCAAUGGAUAGAGAUGACUCUUUCAAAGUUACAAAUGGUAACUCCUAUCUUAGUAUGAUACAACUUUUGACUAGUUAUUUGCAUUUUUCAACUAAAAUCUAAUGUGGCCUAUUUUCAUAUACCUUAGGAAAAUACUACCUAGUAGAUGCUGGAUACACGAAUGGUCUAGGCUUCUUCGCUCCAUUUAGGAAUACAAGGUAUCACUUGAAAGUACAGCUGGGCAUGGGCAGCCCGGCCCGACCCAGCCCAAAAAUCCCGUGCUGGGCCUGGUCAGGCUUGCAUGUCGGGUCGGGUUCGGGCCUCAUUUCGGAGCCCGAACGUCAGGCCGACCCGGGCUCGAGCUUGCAGAAAACGGGAUUAUUUACACCUAGUUCGGGCCGGGCUUGUCGAGCCGGGCCGGGUUUUUCUCUGUUCGGGCCGGGUUCGGGCCUGAUUUCUAAGCCCUAAGGUCGGGCCGGGCCGGCUCAGGCCUAGGAAUUUUGGUUCGGGAUUUUUCGGGCCUGGUCUGAAACCCGGCCCGGCCCGAAGAAUGCCCAGGUGUACUUGAAAGAGUGGGCUGCCAAUGGGAAUAAUCCAGAAACUCCACAAGAGCUCUAUAACCGGCGGCAUGCAAUUGCUAGGAACUUAAUUGAGAGGAUUUGGGCUCUUAUAAAUAUGAGAUGGGCUACUCUAAGGGCUAGUUCAUUUUUUGGAAUAAAAAAUCAGAUUCGAGUAAUCAAUGCUUGUUGCAUAUUGCAUAACUUCCUAGCUGAUAGGCAAAGAGAGAUGGAUGAUGUGAUGUUGCAAGCAGUAGAUAAUCAGCUAAAUAAUGUUUUCAUUGAUGUGGAUGAACCUGAGAUUACCCACAUUGAGGUGACGAAGAUGACGUUUGGAACAAUUAUGCCAAGGCCAACAAAGAUGCAGCCUCGUAUAGGUACAAGGUCAUCAAGUAUUGGGACAUGAUCAAUACACUUUACAACAGAGACCGUGCUACGGGCGAGGGUGCAAGGACAACAAAUGAGAGCGCAGCUGAAAUGGCGGAGGAGAUUGCGAACACCACCGCAACCCAUAAACAUGCCAACUCCUCAACUAAGGAUGGCGAAGAUCGUCCAAAGAAGAGGUACCGAUCUGAUGACUCGAUUGCAACAAUGCUUGGAGAUAAAUUAGACAAUUUUACUACUGUGUUCAAAGGUGAUGCUCUUGAGCCACCACCAAAGCCAGCAGGUCCUGAAGAAAUAUGGGCUCUCCUUGGUGGAAUACCAGACCUAGAAGAUGAUCAGUUGUUGGCAAUAUAUGAUGUUCUAGUUGCCGAUGAUCGCAAGUUCAAGUCUCUAUUAGCACUGCCUGAAAGGAUGAAGAAGUGGGUUCUGAAGCAAAUAAGCACAUGAUUGAGAUACUCCUUUGUAAUGUGGCAGUCUACCUGGAACUUAUUUAAACUCUGGAACUUGUUUAAACUCUGGAACUUGUGAUGUAGCAGCCUUUGUGAUGUGCAAGUUUUCUAAA
Lolium perenne is the source of this 2451-nucleotide long non-coding RNA. RefSeq lists it as uncharacterized. The record is from RefSeq and is a predicted model, not a curated record. NCBI's taxonomy places the organism in Eukaryota, Viridiplantae, Streptophyta, Magnoliopsida, Poales, Poaceae.